CCUCUUGGAAGGCCGCGUCGCCCAUACUAUAUUGAUCCUGCUCGGGUUCGCCCGAGCUAUGGCGAUAAACGCGCCUGUAAUAAGCGGACCGGACCCGGGUGCGAUUCCCGGCGGCUCCACCAACUUCUUCCCCGCGUUAUCGGCGGAGGCAGCAUGGGGCCGACUAGCAUCGACGGACGUGUAAAGAGGAUUGCUUUCGCUCGUCCUGGCCCACCGUAUCGGGCCUUUAUCUAACUGCGAACGAUAACUUCGCUGGAGAAGUCCGCCUCGCCGCGUAAUGCGGUUCGGUUGAUUUCGAACACUUAAGUCCUAGGGGUUCAGAUCCUUAGGCGGGGCCCGGGGGGCGCCUGGCAACAGAAGCCCCCCCACU
RNAcentral lists this transfer-messenger RNA (370 nucleotides) under Brevundimonas diminuta. It matches the Rfam family "Alphaproteobacteria transfer-messenger RNA". From Rfam's summary of the family: Bacterial tmRNA, also known as 10Sa RNA or SsrA, is named for its dual tRNA and mRNA-like properties. Its role is to liberate the mRNA from a stalled ribosome. Lineage: Bacteria; Pseudomonadati; Pseudomonadota; Alphaproteobacteria; Caulobacterales; Caulobacteraceae. The record is from RNAcentral.